This 70-nucleotide non-coding RNA is filed under the name Schistosoma curassoni. Lineage: Eukaryota; Metazoa; Platyhelminthes; Trematoda; Strigeidida; Schistosomatidae. The record is from RNAcentral.
ACAAUAACUCCGCCUGUAGCUCUUAUAGGGUUGCUGCCGGUCCCAAGCCCGGGUAAAGGAGGAGGGUUGG